RNAcentral lists this ribosomal RNA (392 nucleotides) under uncultured eukaryote. RNAcentral describes it as "SSU rRNA". It matches the Rfam family "Eukaryotic small subunit ribosomal RNA", at positions 587 to 972 of the family's 1831-position model. The record is from RNAcentral.
AGCUCCAGUAGCGUAUAUUAAAGUUGUUGCAGUUAAAAAGCUCGUAGUUGGAUUUCUGGUAGGUCACUCUGGUCCGCGACCUUCGGGUAGUGUGUUGCCGGAUGCUACCUAUCAUCCUACCAGGGUUCUAAGCCUGCCCUUUACUGGGUUGGGCUUAUGUGCUUUGGUACAUUUACUUUGAAAAAAUUAGAGUGUUUAAAGCAGGCUUACGCCAUUGAAUAGAUUAGCAUGGAAUAAUAAUAUAGGACUUUGUCCCUAUUUUGUUGGUUUCUAGGGAUGCAGUAAUGAUUGAUAGGGAUAGUUGGGGGUGCUCGUAUUGAGUGGCCAGAGGUGAAAUUCUUGGAUUCACUCAAGACGAACUACUGCGAAAGCAUUCACCAAGGAUGUCUUCU